This 429-nucleotide ribosomal RNA is filed under the name Gemmatimonadota bacterium. RNAcentral describes it as "Gemmatimonadetes bacterium partial 16S ribosomal RNA". It matches the Rfam family "Bacterial small subunit ribosomal RNA", at positions 355 to 776 of the family's 1533-position model. Lineage: Bacteria; Pseudomonadati; Gemmatimonadota. The record is from RNAcentral.
CAGGGAAUCUUCGGCAAUGGACGAAAGCCUGACCGAGCAACGCCGCGUGAGUGAAGAAGGUUUUCGGAUCGUAAAACUCUGUUGUUAGAGAAGAACAAGGACGUUAGUAACUGAACGUCCCCUGACGGUAUCUAACCAGAAAGCCACGGCUAACUACGUGCCAGCAGCCGCGGUAAUACGUAGGUGGCAAGCGUUGUCCGGAUUUAUUGGGCGUAAAGCGAGCGCAGGCGGUUUCUUAAGUCUGAUGUGAAAGCCCCCGGCUCAACCGGGGAGGGUCAUUGGAAACUGGGAGACUUGAGUGCAGAAGAGGAGAGUGGAAUUCCAUGUGUAGCGGUGAAAUGCGUAGAUAUAUGGAGGAACACCAGUGGCGAAGGCGGCUCUCUGGUCUGUAACUGACGCUGAGGCUCGAAAGCGUGGGGAGCAAACAGG